Molecule: transfer RNA, 61 nt
Filed under: Cambaroides japonicus
Lineage: Eukaryota; Metazoa; Arthropoda; Malacostraca; Decapoda; Cambaridae
Also listed under: 1 other name
Description: tRNA-Gly
Rfam family: tRNA
About the family: Transfer RNA (tRNA) molecules are approximately 80 nucleotides in length. Their secondary structure includes four short double-helical elements and three loops (D, anti-codon, and T loops).
Source: RNAcentral
AAUUUUUUAGUAUAAUUGUAUAUUUGACUUCCAAUCAAAAGGUCUAGAGUUAGAAAAAUUA